This 465-nucleotide ribosomal RNA is filed under the name Vreelandella stevensii. Its description in RNAcentral is "partial 16S ribosomal RNA". It matches the Rfam family "Bacterial small subunit ribosomal RNA", at positions 338 to 795 of the family's 1533-position model. The record is from RNAcentral. Lineage: Bacteria; Pseudomonadati; Pseudomonadota; Gammaproteobacteria; Oceanospirillales; Halomonadaceae.
CCUACGGGUGGCAGCAGUGGGGAAUAUUGGACAAUGGGGGCAACCCUGAUCCAGCCAUGCCGCGUGUGUGAAGAAGGCCCUCGGGUUAUAAAGCACUUUCAGUGAGGAAGAACGCCUGGUGGUUAAUACCCAUCAGGAAAGACAUCACUCACAGAAGAAGCACCGGCUAACUCCGUGCCAGCAGCCGCGGUAAUACGGAGGGUGCGAGCGUUAAUCGGAAUUACUGGGCGUAAAGCGCGCGUAGGUGGCUUGAUAAGCCGGUUGUGAAAGCCCCGGGCUCAACCUGGGAACGGCAUCCGGAACUGUCAAGCUAGAGUGCAGGAGAGGAAGGUAGAAUUCCCGGUGUAGCGGUGAAAUGCGUAGAGAUCGGGAGGAAUACCAGUGGCGAAGGCGGCCUUCUGGACUGACACUGACACUGAGGUGCGAAAGCGUGGGUAGCAAACAGGAUUAGAUACCCCGGUAGUC